CCAGGAAGCCGGCCGCCGCGCGGUGACCAGCGCCUCAGACACCCACGCGAGUCAGACCUUCCAUAGCCCGCGGCUAUGGAGACUUGGGAAACUGUCCUCUACGGUCACCCCGGAAAGUACGAGGCUUCUUCCUCAGCCAAGGGGGGGAAGCCCUCCAUCCUCGAGGACUGGGUUUGAAUUGCUUUCAUCUGGAGUGGCCGUGAUUCAGCGUCCCCCCUUAGCAGCAGGCAAUGACAGAGGCAGGGGGCAGAGAAAGAAAAGCAACAGCGAAUGAAUCAGACCUGGAAUGGCGAUGACCAGAGCAACCCUGGAAGUCCUGAGAGCCAACUGUUGACAGCGCUGCUGCCGUGCCGAUCUUCAGCAACUGUCCAGGCAAGCGCGGCCUGCCAAACUGGAACUCUUCCCUGAGACUGUUUCCUGGGGGACAAAUAAACUGUUAUUCCUUGA
Tupaia belangeri chinensis (Chinese tree shrew) is the source of this 447-nucleotide long non-coding RNA. RefSeq lists it as uncharacterized. NCBI's taxonomy places the organism in Eukaryota, Metazoa, Chordata, Mammalia, Scandentia, Tupaiidae. The transcript has 2 exons. The record is from RefSeq and is a predicted model, not a curated record.